Molecule: long non-coding RNA, 1413 nt
Organism: Triticum dicoccoides
Lineage: Eukaryota; Viridiplantae; Streptophyta; Magnoliopsida; Poales; Poaceae
Exons: 3
Source: RefSeq, a predicted model, not a curated record
AAGGCCCAAGACAGUCCAUCCCUCAUUCCGAAUCCUCUCACCCUCCUUGCGGGCGAUGCUAACCCUAGAGCCGCCGGCGGCCGCCGCCACUUCGCCUGCCAGCGGCUCCGACCAUGACUUCCAGCUUCUCCCACCAUCAGCGCCCCUUCCCCAGAAGGUCUCCUCCUUGGCCCUCGGAUUAAUCUCCCGCUCCCGCUCCCGCCGGGUCCCUCAUGAAUCGUGAAACGGCGCGAGCGGGUCCGCGGUGAAGGCACCGAGGCUGCAUCCACUGCCGUGCAUGCCGCCCGGUGCAGGAUCCUCAGGGACGUGGAGGAGCAUGGUGGAGUACAACGGCAAGGGUGGGGUGGAAGGAGACGCCCUGAGCAUUUUUUUUUGGACGCCGUGAGCAUGGAAUGACCUUACUGCUCCAUCUCCAACAUAACUCCAGCUGCUAUUGCCAGUUUGGUCUUCUCUUCUACAUUGAUCCGUUUAGAUCCCAACUAAUCAAGAGAUAUGAGGACAGGGAGGAUGAAGGAGCCGCAGUUGUAAGUGCUACGGCGGGCGAGCAGGGAUGCAACUGGAGAUUGGUCAGAGACUGCAACAUAUUGUUAGCUUCAUGAGGUUGGGAGCAACUGGAUCUAGACCUCCCCGCAACUGACUAGAAAAGUGUUGACGAUGUUCUCUGAACUCUGAUCUCUCUCCCAUGUUUUCAGACAACAAUGAUCAGUAGUCCUUGGCACAAUUUUACUUCUCUAUUUGCAGUCUAAAAGCUUGGGGAAAAAAUGGGGGCCAUGAAUACCCGCAUUGCUCUCAUAUCAUGUCCAUGAAUGAAAAAGGGUACAUAGUGCCAUCAUUGUUCAUCCUCUACCUUUGUUGCGAGCGUUGUCUGAAUCAACUUAAAAUUAGCUGACAAAAAGGCUUCAUGUCUAGUUUUUCACCAGCCUUCACCUCUGUGCAGUUUUCUUGGCAUGGGAUCUGGAGGUCUAGAAUAGGAUGCUUAUAUAUAUUACCAACUUUUGUUUAUGUUUCUGUGAGCCAUGAGUGGAUGCACGCGAUGGGUGGUCUAGCACAGAACUGAUUUGCUACUUCAUGAUGAGCAGGAAAUGAUUUGCUGCUUCGUGAUGAGAAGAUUGAGUGGACAGAUGAUCCGCAGGAUGUUCAAGGUUGAGGUUACUGUGGUUUGUGAUUCGGUCAUGUCCCGAGAUUGAGAACGGCUAGCUGCACAAAGGAAUCAGGUGUGGAGUUAAUGGGUGACGAUCAUCAGUAGAAGUUUUACUAAAAUAUUGUCACACUUACAACCUAUAGUUUACUAAAGCUAACACUGUCAUAUCAGAAAAAAAAUACAGUUUAAUGUAAAAGCACUGUUGGAGACACGCAUGUUCCAGUUUAGUGUAAAUGAUAUGUUUGUGCAGGCAACACUCUUUUAAGUGGAAA